CCUACGGGAGGCAGCAGUGGGGAAUAUUGGGCAAUGGGCGCAAGCCUGAACCAGCAACGCCGCGUGAAGGAAGAAGGCUUUCGGGUUGUAAACUUCUUUUCUCAGGGACGAAGCAAGCGACGGUACCUGAGGAAUAAGCCACGGAUAACUACGUGCCAGCAGCCGCGGUAAUACGUAGGUGGCAAGCGUUAGUCGGAUGUACUGGGUGUAAAGGGCGUGUAGGCGGGAAAGCAAGUCAGAUGUGAAAACCAUGGGCUCAACCGGUGUCCUGCAUUUGAAACUGUUAUUCUAGAGUACUGGAGAGGCAGGCGGAAGUCCUGGUGUAGCGGUGAAAUGCGUAGAUAUUAGGAGGAACACCAGUGGCGAAGGCGGUCUGCUGGACAGCAACUGACGCUGAGGCGCGAAAGCGUGGGGAGCAAACAGGAUUAGAUACCCGGGUAGUC
Molecule: ribosomal RNA, 443 nt
Filed under: uncultured bacterium
Lineage: Bacteria
Description: partial 16S ribosomal RNA
Rfam family: Bacterial small subunit ribosomal RNA
Source: RNAcentral